GAUGAACGCUGGCGGCGUGCCUAAUACAUGCAAGUCGAGCGAACGGACGAGAAGCUUGCUUCUCUGAUGUUAGCGGCGGACGGGUGAGUAACACGUGGAUAACCUACCUAUAAGACUGGGAUAACUUCGGGAAACCGUAGCUAAUACCGGAUAAUAUUUUGAACCGCAUGGUUCAAAAGUGAAAGACGGUCUUGCUGUCACUUAUAGAUGGAUCCGCGCUGCAUUAGCUAGUUGGUAAGGUAACGGCUUACCAAGGCAACGAUGCAUAGCCGACCUGAGAGGGUGAUCCGCCACACUGGAACUGAGACACGGUCCAGACUCCUACGGGAGGCAGCAGUAGGGAAUCUUCCGCAAUGGGCGAAAGCCUGACGGAGCAACGCCGCGUGAGUGAUUAAGGUCUUCGGAUCGUAAAACUCUGUUAUUAGGGAAGAACAUAUGUGUAAGUAACUGUGCACAUCUUGACGGUACCUAAUCAGAAAGCCACGGCUAACUACGUG
This 497-nucleotide ribosomal RNA is filed under the name uncultured bacterium. Its description in RNAcentral is "partial 16S ribosomal RNA". It matches the Rfam family "Bacterial small subunit ribosomal RNA", at positions 28 to 507 of the family's 1533-position model. The record is from RNAcentral.